GCCGGGUGGUCAUCAGCAGAGAUUGGGAAGGUCGUUGUGCUGGAAGAAUGAAGAUGGGAUACAAAACACUAUUCCGCCGUCUCUCAAAUACCCAGGUAUUUUUGGUUGAACCAAAACAACGGGACAAUCCUAAUGACCGAGAGACCUCCGCAGGGAACGUACGACGUCAAUAUUACGGUUUCUGACGGUGUGUGACCAGAUACCUUCUCUACUAUCAAAAUUUAUGUACAAGAGAUUGGAAGUGACGCCUUCCGCAGCUCGGUGUCUCUGAGACUCACAAGCAUUACAGCAGAGGAAUUCAUAGAGAAGGAUGAGUUUGGAGUCAGCAGACGUGACCAGCUCCAGGCCGUCCUGGCAGACAUGGCAGCUGCCCAUCCCAGCCAUAUCCACAUCUUCAGUGUGGUGAAUGCAGAGGAUAACGCGACCGACGUGACAUUUUCAGUAUGCAGAGCUGCCUCCUGCCACAAACCCGAGAUCUUACGGAGCUUAUUGACAGC
Spea bombifrons (plains spadefoot toad) is the source of this 497-nucleotide long non-coding RNA. RefSeq lists it as uncharacterized. The transcript is spliced from 3 exons. Lineage: Eukaryota; Metazoa; Chordata; Amphibia; Anura; Pelobatidae. The record is from RefSeq and is a predicted model, not a curated record.